CUGUAGCUUGAUAUUGAAUUUAUUGUUUAGUUGCUCAGCAUAGCGAGGAGGCUUUGAAACUGUGCUUUUGGGUAUAGUGGAGCCGACAGUGAGAUACUCGCUUUCUUAAUGGUAAAUUCUAAUCCCUUUAUUGGGAGAAAGUAUCUGGUAGGCAGUUUGAAUGGGGCGUUCUCCUCUAAAAAGGUAACGGAGGAGUAUUUUAAGGUCAGCUAAGCGCGGAUGGAAAUCGCGCNNACUCUGGGGAUAACAGGCUAGUUGCGCCCGAGCGUCCAUAGCGACGGCGCAGUUCGGCACCUCGAUGUCGGCUCAAGAUAUCCUGGGGGUGCACAAGCUCCCAAGGGUUCGGCUGUUCGCCGAUUAAAGUGGCACGCGAGCUGGGUUCAAAACGUCGUGAGACAGUUUGGUCCCUAUCCGCCGUGGGCGUAGGAUACUUGAGGAGAGCUUUCCCUAGUACGAGAGGACCGGGAAGGACGCACCGCUAGUGUUCCGGUUGUGGCGCCAGCCGCAGCGCCGGGUAGCUAUGUGCGGACAGGAUAACCGCUGAAAGCAUAUAAGCGGGAAGCCCCCUCCAAGAUAAGGUAUCCCGGGGUGUAAGCCCCCUAAAGACCCCUCGUAGACUACGAGGUUGAUAGGCCGGAUGUGGAAGGCCAGUAAUGGUUGAAGCUUACCGGUACUAAUUGGUCGUGCGGCUUGACCAU
Molecule: ribosomal RNA, 698 nt
Filed under: Deltaproteobacteria bacterium
Lineage: Bacteria; Pseudomonadati; Myxococcota; Myxococcia
Description: bacterial LSU rRNA
Rfam family: Bacterial large subunit ribosomal RNA
Source: RNAcentral